UUUGGCCUCCUAUGGUUAUCAUUACAAAUACAGUGCACAAAAAGAACGAGUACAAUAAGGUGAGAUUUGUACUUUUCUCAUUCACAAGUAGAUAUUUAAGUUCUUUGUGAAGAUAUAAUGAUCCAGUUACUAAUUAGCUGUUGUUUGAAUCGAUGGAAUCGUGAAUUUCAGUGGAUUGGUAUGACAACUCAACAGCUGCUGGACAUGUUCAGCACAGACGAUGCUGUUGUCAAGGUUCAACACUUCUACAAUUCAAAUGGACAUUGUGGGAUGGGUAUUUUGAUUUUUGAGAGCUCACCGAGGGGUUAUUUAGAGGCAGAGUUGCUGCAUAUGCAUUUUGCAGAGGAAGGAACAGGUAGAAAGGCUUGGAAUAGUCGGCCAGUCUACUUCCUACCCAGUGGGGAGCGCCAACUUUAUGGUUACAUGGCAAUGAAAGAAGAUGUGGACACCUUCAACCAGUACUAUUCGAAAGGUAUAUAUUGAUAUAUGCUCGAAUGGAUAUUAAUCAGUAUUAUUUUAGAGGACAAAGAACAUGUAAGAGAGAUCUAAUUCUGCUGCAAAAUUAAUCAGGAAAGCCUAAGCUAAAAUAUGAGAUGAGAUCCUACCAAGAAAUGGUGGUGAACAGAAUCAGGCAAAUGAGUAAAGACAACCUUCAGCUUCCCUGGUUGCAGAACAGAGUCGUUGAGCAACAAAAUCAUGCAAAAGACCUUGAAGAAUCCAAUGGCAUGUUGAAGGUGAAGCUAAACAACGUAACCAGGGAUAUGGAGAUCUUGAGACGAAAAGCCAAACAGCAGCAUGAGCAGGACACGGAAGAGGUAACUCUUUCCAAAUGCAAAUGAACUUAUGCCUUUCUAAUUAAGAAAGCUAAAGCUGAACUCUAAGCCUUUUUUUUUAAAAAAAAGAACUCCUUAUAUUGCUUCUAAUUUCGCUCUAUUACAGUCUACCAAAAGUAUUGUUUCUUGAAGUGAUAUUUGCUAUUUUAUCAUGAAUCAUCUCUAUUUUGACUGAACAUAACAAUCCAUUUGCUUAGAUGGAAUCUCUAGAGCAAUUUUACAAGGACCAAAUCAAAACCAUUCUUGAAGCAAGAAAAGAGAACGAUGGGGACUUUGAGAAUACACAGCAGAAGGAAGUGCAAGAAAAUGCAGAGCAAUCAAAUGCAAAUUCUUCAAACUGAAAUGAUUUCAUAAAGAACCCGGAGAAAGAAAAAGGAGGGGUGGCAGAGAGCCAUAAGCCAAUAAUACAAGAAGAGGUCGGUAGAGCUCCCAUUGCAAGGGAGGAGACAAUGUUCCCGGCAGUGAUGAGAAGGAGACUCCAACCCAUGCCAGUUCCUAGAGAUGAAAAACGCCUAGCGCACUUGGCAAAGGCAAGAGCCUCAAUUUUAAGGAGAAAGCUCAUCAUGGCAGACUAAUAAUGUCAAGUCUUAAACCAUUAGGUGUUCAACUGAUGAUUUGUGUAGUUUGCAAAUUGUAUUUGCGGUCGUGUUCUUAUUUAAAACCAAAAGAUAAUAUUAAUCUCUAUAUAAUUAUAUGUAUAUGUGAAUUUGUAUUGUGCUGCACCUGCAGUUGUAUCUCCCAAGUUUUGGAGUCCCUUCCCCCUUUUAAAGAAGCAUUGGAUUUGUUUUAAUGUGUCCUAGUUUGUUCAUGUUUUAUCCUUUUUUAUUUAAUUUGAG
RNAcentral lists this unclassified non-coding RNA (1669 nucleotides) under Hevea brasiliensis (rubber tree). The record is from RNAcentral. Lineage: Eukaryota; Viridiplantae; Streptophyta; Magnoliopsida; Malpighiales; Euphorbiaceae.